This 20-nucleotide microRNA is filed under the name Plutella xylostella (diamondback moth). RNAcentral's name for it is "pxy-miR-8504". Lineage: Eukaryota; Metazoa; Arthropoda; Insecta; Lepidoptera; Plutellidae. The record is from miRBase by way of RNAcentral.
CCAUCCAUACUUGUACGGGU